AUUCCGUGAUGAGGGCAUUUCCUUAGUAGUUAUUUGUAUCGUUCCCACGCCUCAUACAAGGAUUCAUCAUCCAUUUGUUGGAAGGCAGAGAUCUCGUUCCUCAAUUU
Molecule: non-coding RNA, 107 nt
Organism: Gossypium hirsutum (cotton)
Lineage: Eukaryota; Viridiplantae; Streptophyta; Magnoliopsida; Malvales; Malvaceae
Source: Rfam